Molecule: long non-coding RNA, 637 nt
Organism: Peromyscus eremicus (cactus mouse)
Lineage: Eukaryota; Metazoa; Chordata; Mammalia; Rodentia; Cricetidae
Exons: 2
Source: RefSeq, a predicted model, not a curated record
UCUACAAAGAAGAGAAGGCGUAACAGUUGCCAAGAUCCAGAGAGAUGGAUGACUCCAAGGAAACAUUGUCUCCCAGAGAACAGGAUUGACACACUAUGAGGUCACAGAGGCUAUGGCAGCCCAUACAAGACCUGGACGUGUUCACACAAGACAGGGUCUUAAUACUGAGAGAGAAGUGGACACUCAGUUUCACCCAAACCAAUGAGCUAUCUGCAACUGUUAACUGCUGGGAAAGGAAAAAAAUGUAUUCAAUCCAGUGGAGUGCCUCACAGAAAUGAAAACAAUGGCACAAGAGAGCAACUUGUUCAAAUUGGAACAACAUUCCACGAUGUAAAUUAGACCUGUGAAGUUCUACAUUUAAGAUACUCUACUAUCCUGAUGAACUGCCUUUGGAUUUUUCAGUGGGGUUCAAACCAUUGUUAACAAACAUUAUGAGAAGUUGUUAUUUUGGACUGAGCUCCUGUAAUAAGCACCAACAGACUAGAUCAUUUUAUAUGCACAUAACCAAACUGGCACAUGGAGAAUUGAAGAGACCCCUAGAGAGACAAAGUUUCCCAUUAAAGCCAUAAAACUCCAGUCUUCUUGAAUACAUUCAAGAAGUAAAGACUGUUUAACUCAUAAAAAGCAUUGUCUGACA